CACCUCUUGACUAUACAUAAGAGGCCCAGCCUGCCCAGUGACUUCAUUCAACGGCCGCGGUAUCCUAACCGUGCAAAGGUAGCGUAAUCACUUGUUUCCUAAAUAGAGACUAGUAUGAAAGGCAUCACGAGGAUUAAACUGUCUCCUUUCCCUAAUCAGUGAACCUAAUCUCCCCGUGAAGAAGCGGGGAUAACCCUAUAAGACGAGAAGACCCUAUGGAGCUUAAAACAAUAUCACACGUGCCACUCCGUUUAUACACCAAGGUCAUUACCCCCUCCCACGCACGCUGAUCAUAUGUUUUUGGUUGGGGUGACCGCGGAGAACAAAUUACCCUCCACGAUGAAAAGGGGUAUUUCCCCUAAAUAACAAGCUACAACUUUAUCCAUCAAUAAAUUGACAUUCAUUGAUCCAAUAUUUUGACCAACGAACCAAGUUACCCUAGGGAUAACAGCGCAAUCCACUUUAAGAGCCCCUAUCGACAAGUGGGCUUACGACCUCGAUGUUGGAUCAGGGUAUCCUAGUGGUGCAGCCGCUACUAAAGGUUCGUUUGUUCAACGAUUAAAACCCU
Molecule: ribosomal RNA, 568 nt
Filed under: Pristimantis erythropleura (Colombian robber frog)
Lineage: Eukaryota; Metazoa; Chordata; Amphibia; Anura; Strabomantidae
Description: partial 16S ribosomal RNA
Rfam family: Bacterial large subunit ribosomal RNA
Source: RNAcentral